This 358-nucleotide ribosomal RNA is filed under the name uncultured Oscillospira sp. RNAcentral describes it as "partial 16S ribosomal RNA". Lineage: Bacteria; Bacillati; Bacillota; Clostridia; Eubacteriales; Oscillospiraceae. The record is from RNAcentral.
GGAGUCUGGGCCGUGUCUCAGUCCCAAUGUGGCCGUUGAACCUCUCGGUACGGCUACUGGUCAUCGCCUUGGUGAGCCAUUACCUCACCAACAAGCUAAUCAGACAUGAGCCUAUCCAUAAGCGAAUUGCUUCUUUUCCGAUGUGAACAUGUGUCCUCAACGAUUCAUGCGGUAUUAUCUUCUGUUUCCAAAAGCUAUUCCCCACUUAUGGGAAAGUUACUCAUGCUUUACUCACCCGUCCGCCACUGAACUAGUGAACGCAACCUAGAAAGUUUCUAAGCUCCGGUCACUAGUCCCGUUCGACUUGCAUGUGUUAGGCGCGCCGCCAGCGUUCGUCCUCGAGCCAUGAUCAAACUCU